This 3069-nucleotide long non-coding RNA is filed under the name Citrus maxima (pomelo). Its description in RNAcentral is "long non-coding RNA (CMAX_LNC001184)". The record is from RNAcentral. Lineage: Eukaryota; Viridiplantae; Streptophyta; Magnoliopsida; Sapindales; Rutaceae.
AAACAGAAAACAAAUCUCUUCUAUAGCAGACUUAACAAAAAUUUCAGCUGAGACUUAAACCGACUUUUUCAAGGAAAUGAAAUUAGGAGAACAAAAACACUUUGAAGUGGACUGCAUAUAUAUACUCAAAAAUAACAUACAACUUGAGUCAGUAAUGGUAAAGAAAACGAACGUACACAGACGGGUUUGGAUUUAGAUGAUGAAGAAUGCACUGAAAGCUUUGCAUUUGAGUUCUCUUUUUCGGGUGAGUAAGUUAGGGAACUGCAAGGCCGAUCAAUUUGAAAAAAGAAAAAAGAAAAAAACUAAAAUGUAAACGCAGCUUGAACUUGAUUUCUUUUGGUUUUUGGGGAGGGGACGGGGGGAGGGGAGGGAAUGUAUACGCAGCUUCAAACUUGGUUUCUUUUCGUUUUUUUCCCCGGGGGUGUGGAGGCCUGGAGGGAAUGUAAACGAACUAACGAAGCCUCAAUCCUCAUGCAGCUGUAUUUAUAUGAAGUGGGUACUGCUGACUGAUCCACGAAGGAAGACUUUUGAUGUCAUUGGUGUUUCUUUAUUUUUGACCUUUUAGCUAGAUGACAGAAGAAUGCCGAGUGCUACGGACACUCGCGAGUGUCUCAAUCGCGGCUCUCUAUAUAGACACGUGUCUAUCAAAAUGAAACCUUAUCAGAGAGACAGCCGCAAGUAUGACGAGACAAGCGCGAUCGUAAGGAUGGAAGCCGCAAGUAUGAAGAGACAGGCCCAAUCCACAACGAUCCAAGAGCAAUCAUUACCUGCAAACUCAACACAACACCUAAUUAACUUCAAACCCCACCAUAAAUCCACCAACAGUCACUAUUCGAAACAAAUCUACCUCAAAUGCGACGUCAAAUAAAAGGAAUAAAAAGGUUUCCUUAAAAGAGAGAGAGCUGCGAGUAUGAAGAGACAAGCACGGUCCACAACGAUCGAAGGCUGUGUGGUAUGUGUCUUGUAUAGAUUGAACAGAGCAAUCAUUACCUGCAAAACUGAACCAAACACUCAAUUAACAAACAAAUUUCAAUUUGAAACCCGACCUUAAAUCCACCAUUGGGCACUAUUCGACACAAAUCUACUUGAAAUCCGACAACAAAUAAAAGGAAAAAAAAUUCUAAAUCAACAUCGAAAUGAAACCUUUAUAAGAGAGAAAGCCGCAAGUACGAAGAGAUCUGAAGUCCUGUUGGUAUAUGUCUUGUAUAGAUUGACAGAGCAAUCAAAGGCCGUGUCGACCAGAGCAAUCGCAGAAUAGAAGAGAUAAGAGAGGAAAAAAGAAGGAAGAGGAGAGCUGCAGCAGCAAAUGAUCAGAGCAAUCAUUACCUGCAAAACUCAACACAACACCAAAUUAACAACCAACAUUUCAAUUUCAAACUUAACCUUAAAUUGAAACAAAUCUACUUGAAAAUAAAAGAAUAAGCAACUCCGAAUCAAAAUCGAAAUGAAACCUUUUAUAACAGAGACAGCCGCGAGUAUGAAGAGACAGGCACAAUCUGCAGCGAUCGAAGAGAAAUCACCACUACCUGCAAAACUCAACACAACGCCUGAUUAACAACAAACAUGCCAAUUUCAAACCCACCUUAAAUCCACCAACAGACACUAUAACUUGAAAUGCAAUAUCAAAUAAAAGGAACAAGUAGUCUAAAUCAAAAUCAAAACGAAACCUUAUAAAAGAGACAGCCGCAAGUCUGAAGAGACCAGCACGAUCCUAAAGGAUCAAAGCCGCAAGUAUGAACAGACCUGAUUAACAACAAACACCUGAUUACCUGCAAAACUCAACACAACACCUGAUUAUCAACAAACAUUUCAAUUUCAAACCCAAAACAAAUCUACUUGAAAAAAAAAAAAAAACAACUCCAAAUCAAAAUCGAAAUGAAACCUUAUUAGAAAGACAGCCGCAAGUAUGACGAGACAAGCACGAUCGUAAAGGAUGGGAGCCGCAAGUAUGAAGAGACAGGCCCAAUCCACAACGAUCCAAGAGCAAUCAUUACCUGCAAACUCAACACAACACCUAAUUAACUUCAAACCCCACCAUAAAUCCACCAACAGUCACUAUUUGAAACAAAUCUACCUCAAAUGCGACAUCAAAUAAAAGGAAUAAAAAGGUUUCCUUAAAAAAGAGUCCACAACGAUCGAAGGCUGUGUUGUAUGUGUCUUGUAUAGAUUGAACAGAGCAAUCAUUACCUGCAAAACUGAACCAAACACUCAAUUAACAAACAAAUUUCAAUUUGAAACCCGACCUUAAAUCCACCAUCGGGAACUAUUCGACACAAAUCUACUUGAAAUCCGACAACAAAUAAAAGGAAAAACAAGUCUAAAUCAACAUCGAAAUGAAACCUUUGUAAGAGAGAAAGCCGCAAGUAUGAAGAGAUCUGAAGUCCUGUUGGUAUAUGUCUUGUAUAGAUUGACAGAGCAAUCAAAGGCCGUGUCGACCAGAGCAAUCGAAGAGUAGAAGAGAUAAGAGAGGAAAAAAGAAGAAGAGGAGAGCUUCAGCAGCAAAUGAUCAGAGCAAUCAUUACCUGCAAAACUCAACACAACACCAAAUUAACAACCAACAUUUCAAUUUCAAACCCAACCUUAAAUUGAAACAAAUCUACUUGAAAAAUAAAGGAAAAAGCAACUCCAAAUCAAAAUCGAAAUGAAACCUUUUAAAACAGAGACAGCCGCGAGUAUGAAGAGACAGGCACAAUCCGCAGCGAUCGAAGAGAAAUCAUCACUACCUGCAAAACUCAACACAACGCCUGAUUAACAACAAACAUGCCAAUUUCAAACCCAACCUUAAAUCCACCAACAGACAGACACUAUAACUUGAAAUGCAAUAUCAAAUAAAAGGAAAAACAAGUCUAAGUCAACAUCGAAAUGAAACCUUUAUAAGAUAGAAAGCCGCAAGUACGAAGAGAGAAGCGCGAUCCUAAAAGAUCUGAAGUCGUGUUGUAUAUAUGUCUUGUAUAGAUUGACAGAGCAAUCAAAGCCCGUGUCGACCAGAGCGAUCGAAGAGGAGAAGAGAGAAGAGAGAAAAAGAGAAGAGGAGGAGAACUGCAGCAGCAAAUGAGCAAAGGGAGCUCA